CAGUAGCCACGGGAAUACAGAGGGUGCGAGCGUUAAUCGGAUUUACUGGGCGUAAAGCGUGCGUAGGCGGCUUUUUAAGUCGGAUGUGAAAUCCCUGAGCUUAACUUAGGAAUUGCAUUCGAUACUGGGAAGCUAGAGUAUGGGAGAGGAUGGUAGAAUUCCAGGUGUAGCGGUGAAAUGCGUAGAGAUCUGGAGGAAUACCGAUGGCGAAGGCAGCCAUCUGGCCUAAUACUGACGCUGAGGUACGAAAGCAUGGGGAGCAAACAGGAUUAGAUACCCGCGUAGUCCUGUCUCUUAUACA
RNAcentral lists this ribosomal RNA (301 nucleotides) under uncultured bacterium. RNAcentral's name for it is "partial 16S ribosomal RNA". It matches the Rfam family "Bacterial small subunit ribosomal RNA", at positions 509 to 809 of the family's 1533-position model. The record is from RNAcentral.